AUGGAAGAUGCUAGGCUCGAGUUCCUGCUUGAUGCCGUGGACAGGAUUUCGCUAUGUGAAGGGUUCGCAGACAGUUUAGAUGAUCCAGAUCCGGUCCCUCUGGCGGUGUUCCCACGAGUUGAUGUAGCCCCUACUGCUCAGGUGGACUCAAAUGACGGCUCAGGUUGCGGGCAAAGAUGUUGGGUGCGCAGUCGCGGGGGAGCCGCAGGCAAUCGAUCUGAUCAAUCAAUGGACAGGCUGAACCCGAGGCUCCGGCUUGGGCAAAAAGGUUAUCAGCUUGUCAUUGUGCAGCAUGUGCUGAACGAGAAGUGUGGUUCAGUGUAUUUGUUGUUGCUUCUUCUUGGAUGA
RNAcentral lists this ribosomal RNA (348 nucleotides) under Triticum aestivum (bread wheat). RNAcentral describes it as "partial small subunit ribosomal RNA". The record is from RNAcentral. Lineage: Eukaryota; Viridiplantae; Streptophyta; Magnoliopsida; Poales; Poaceae.